Molecule: long non-coding RNA, 335 nt
Organism: Ipomoea nil (Japanese morning glory)
Lineage: Eukaryota; Viridiplantae; Streptophyta; Magnoliopsida; Solanales; Convolvulaceae
Exons: 2
Source: RefSeq, a predicted model, not a curated record
GAAUUUGUUGUGCAGUUUCAUAGUCCACUGCAGUGGCUGGAAGGAGAUGAGCAUCAGCUGCGAGUUCAGCUCCGUUCGCUUUGCUGUUUCCAAGCGACAGUGAAUCUGGUAGACAUUGCCUGCAAAAUCCCAGUUUCAUCAUCAGAACAAGUAUGAUUUAUGAACACUCUGCAAGGAAAGAAGUAGUGCAAUUCAUUACCCUUCAAGAUCUUUGGAUACGUUGGAUUUCACCACCUGCCCUGCAUAAACCAGAUGGUACAUUUUUCUCUUCAGCUUGUAUGGUGUCACAGUUUGUCCCUGAUUUUAUUUCAAACAUAAGAACAAUAUUAACAAAC